Molecule: long non-coding RNA, 1316 nt
Organism: Xiphophorus couchianus (Monterrey platyfish)
Lineage: Eukaryota; Metazoa; Chordata; Actinopteri; Cyprinodontiformes; Poeciliidae
Exons: 9
Source: RefSeq, a predicted model, not a curated record
UGUCUUUUCUCUGGAUUUCAUUUCUACAUCAACUCAUGUCACAUGACAUGAGUUGACCAACAAUUAAAGCAGAAGACCAGCUCCGCCUGUAAUCCUCCUUCAACACCACCAGUCAGGUGGAGGAAGAUAAGAGAACCCAGUUGACUAAAAAAAUUGACCAACAAUUAAAGCAGAAGACCUGCUCCACCUGCUGAUCUACUGGUUGUAACAGCUUGUGGGAAAGCAUCAAUGAGACAAGACAACAUCACUGGACCAAUCAGGCGAGAGAAGACAGAGAGGACUGAGGACUAAAACAAAAAUACUCUGCCUGCCAAAAAAGAUUGAUCAGCAUUUGGGAGCUUUUACUUUGGAAAUUUCCAUGAAGAUGCCAGGCUGCCUGUAAGCCCUUCCUGUGAAUCCAGUAAAGUGAUAUUGAGCCUUAUUUGGGUGAAGUUAGCUUUAAAAAACCUACCAUGAGUGCAUUUUUCCCACCGAAGAGAGAAGGAGCAAAAGAAGAAGGAAUGAAUGACUGUUACAUGACAAGUGAAUCUAACACGUACUGCAGCUCAUCUUUUGAGACAGACUCAGAUGGAGAAGUGGAAUAAAAAGCAGCAGUGGAAAUGGGUCAAACACCGACGGACGAGGAGCCGAUCACUUUCAAACUCUCACCGCCUCGCCCCUCCUCCCAUCUGACAGACGCCAAACACCGAGCCUCCCUCAUCGCUAUGACAGACCUCCAUCACUGUCAGGGACAUGAACAUCCUGAAGUGUCUGUGUUCCUCUGACUGGCUGAGGUGGAUGCAGACACUCUGAGGGUACAACACACACAGGUGGAGUGUGUCGUUUUCCAGAAGAGUGAUGUGUGUGUGUGGGCAGGAACUACAGUGACUUUACCCCUCAGGAUAUGUUUAAGUGAACAACAACAUUGGGUAAAACUCCCCCGGUCACACUGAGAGGCUCCUUAUGUGGUUCCGUGUUUCUGUCGAGGGUCGCAGAGGGAGUUUGGUCACCACACCAGAUGAAGCAGGUCAGCCCAUCGUACCGCGGGCGCACACGCUACACUAUUCCAGCUGUUCGGCUCAGAUUCGGGGUGUGAAGCUGGGCGAUGCGGGCCGGUGUCACUUCAGGUUUGAGACAAACCGACCGCUGGGGAGAUGGACCUCACCUGACACCAUUACUCUGGAUGUAGCAGCUCAACUCUGCUGUCUAAACAUCAACGACUCUGGAAGCGGACAGCGAGGUUUCUGGUGCCUGGCUGGAGACGAGAUUCUGAUUCUUCAAGUGCCAAAACAAAAUGUCAGAAUAAAUAGUUAGAAGGCAGAUUUGUUUUCUCUUCA